RNAcentral lists this long non-coding RNA (756 nucleotides) under Cucumis sativus (cucumber). RNAcentral describes it as "long non-coding RNA (CSAT_LNC001365)". The record is from RNAcentral. Lineage: Eukaryota; Viridiplantae; Streptophyta; Magnoliopsida; Cucurbitales; Cucurbitaceae.
UGACAGUAAUUGGACUUUUAUGUUUUGGUAGUUAUAACAAUUUUGCUCACAACUGAAUUAUAACAAUUUUGCUCACAACUGAAUUAUAACAAUUUUGCUCACACCUGAAUUAUAACAAUUUUGCUCACACCUGAAUUAUAACAAUUUUGCUCGCACCUGAAUUAUGACAAUUUUGCUCGCACCUGAAUUAUGACAAUUUUGCUCGCACCUGAAUUGUAACUUUGACAUUUGGGGAAGUUUUGCAUAUUCUGUUAAAAACCAUGAACACUCUUUAAAUUAGAACGUUUGUACUUUUACGACAACGAAUUCCACUGGCAUUGAUUUCAUCAAGAAAAUCUUUGAGCCCAUUUGAUCCUAUCCCCAUUCAAAAGGAAAAAGGGAUAAAGAGAGAAUAAUAACCCCACCAUUGAAGCAACUUGAAGAAGAGCAGAGGAACUAAGAAAAAAUAGAGUACGAAAUGAAACAUCCAAUGGCGAACUGAAAAGUAAGUGAAUUGAGUUGGAGUGAUGGGAGAGGGGAAAUUUCAAACAUGGAGUUGAUAAAAUUCGAAGAAUUAGAGGGGGAGGUGAUUCUCCGAUAUAGAGAAUUAUUUUUAAAACAUCCUCAGGUCUGAUUGCAACAAUUAACAAAUUUUAAUAACAUAUUUAAUCAAUUCGAAAAGAUAUAAUUGAUUCAAAUUAAGUUGAAGAAUACAAUAAUCCAAAAAGAAAAACAAUAAGAAAAGAAAUUAAAAGAAAGGGAAAUCUCCUGCGGCAG